AUUGAACGCUGGCGGCAUGCUUUACACAUGCAAGUCGAACGGUAACAGGUUAAGCUGACGAGUGGCGAACGGGUGAGUAAUGCAUCGGAACGUGCCCGGUCGUGGGGGAUAACGCAGCGAAAGCUGCGCUAAUACCGCAUACGAUCUGAGGAUGAAAGCGGGGGACCGUAAGGCCUCGCGCGAUCGGAGCGGCCGAUGUCAGAUUAGGUAGUUGGUGGGGUAAAGGCUCACCAAGCCGACGAUCUGUAGCUGGUCUGAGAGGACGACCAGCCACACUGGGACGGAGAAACGGCCCAGACUCCGACGGGAGGCAGCAGUGGGGAAUUUUGGACAAUGGGCGAAAGCCUGAUCCAGCAAUGCCGCGUGCAGGAAGAAGGCCUUCGGGUUGUAAACUGCUUUUGUACGGAGCGAAAAGGCUCUCUCUAAUACAGGGGGCUCAUGACGGUACCGUAAGAAUAAGCACCGGCUAACUACGUGCCAGCCGCCGCAGUAA
RNAcentral lists this ribosomal RNA (493 nucleotides) under uncultured bacterium. Its description in RNAcentral is "partial 16S ribosomal RNA". It matches the Rfam family "Bacterial small subunit ribosomal RNA", at positions 29 to 523 of the family's 1533-position model. The record is from RNAcentral.